AUUGAACGCUGGCGGCAUGCUUUACACAUGCAAGUCGAACGGUAACAGGCCUUCGGGUGCUGACGAGUGGCGAACGGGUGAGUAAUGCAUCGGAACGUACCCAGAGGUGGGGGAUAACGCAGCGAAAGCUGUGCUAAUACCGCAUGUGAUCUGAGGAUGAAAGCGGGGGACCGAGCAGCAAUGUUUGGCCUCGCGCCUUUGGAGCGGCCGAUGUCGGAUUAGCUAGUUGGUGGGGUAAAGGCCUACCAAGGCGACGAUGCGUAGCUGGUCUGAGAGGACGACCAGCCACACUGGGACUGAGACACGGCCCAGACUCCUACGGGAGGCAGCAGUGGGGAAUUUUGGACAAUGGGCGCAAGCCUGAUCCAGCAAUGCCGCGUGCGGGAAGAAGGCCUUCGGGUUGUAAACCGCUUUUGGCAGGAACGAAACGGUGUCCGCUAAUACCGGGCGCUAAUGACGGUACCUGCAGAAUAAGCACCGGCUAACUACGUG
Molecule: ribosomal RNA, 492 nt
Filed under: uncultured bacterium
Lineage: Bacteria
Description: partial 16S ribosomal RNA
Rfam family: Bacterial small subunit ribosomal RNA
Source: RNAcentral